CCCCUCUCAGGGGAGCACCUGGAGAGUUUUCCAAACUCUACCAGUCUCAGCUAUGGGAGGGACAGUCAAGCAGAGGCCUACCCAUUCCAUUCCUAGCUUGGCCAGUGGCUAGCGAGUGGAAGGCAAUCUGCUACAAGU
This 138-nucleotide small nucleolar RNA is filed under the name Ornithorhynchus anatinus (platypus). Lineage: Eukaryota; Metazoa; Chordata; Mammalia; Monotremata; Ornithorhynchidae. The record is from RNAcentral.